RNAcentral lists this long non-coding RNA (413 nucleotides) under Gallus gallus (chicken). Its description in RNAcentral is "lncRNA (ENSGALG00010014094.1)". Lineage: Eukaryota; Metazoa; Chordata; Aves; Galliformes; Phasianidae. The record is from RNAcentral.
AGCAGCUCCAGGCGGUGCUACAGGCUUGGGGUGGAGUGGAUGGAAGACUGCAGACGAAAAAGAUCUGGGGGUGUUGGUUGACACUCAGCUUAACAUGAGCCACCAGUGUGUCCAGGCAGCUCCGGGAGCCCCGUGAUUGACCAAAAGAUGGCAGCAGCCCCAUGUUUUUGGGAUUUCGUAGCCCUCUGCUUCGAAGGAAAUGCCAUACAGGGAGGGAUGCUGGCCCUCCAGUGCCCCCUUUCCAUCUGUGCUCUUAAAUGAGGCCACAACUUGCUGAAACUCCUUAUAAGGAUUCCUGUGAAGAAUAAAUCAAAACAACAUAAUCAGAUCAAAAAUUGCUUUUCCACCUGCUGAAAGUUAUAAAAAAAAUAAAAAAUAAAAACAAACCAGCAACUUCUGCCCACUAAUCAGCC